AUACGGAGGAUGCGAGCGUUAUCCGGAUUUAUUGGGUUUAAAGGGAGCGUAGGUGGGAUAUUAAGUCAGCUGUGAAAGUUUGGGGCUCAACCUUAAAGUUGCAGUUGAUACUGGUUUCCUUGAGUACGGUAUAGGUGGGCGGAAUUCGUGGUGUAGCGGUGAAAUGCUUAGAUAUCACGAAGAACUCCGAUCGCGAAGGCAGCUCACCGGGCCGGAACUGACACUGAUGCUCGAAAGUGCGGGUAUCAAACAGGAUUAGAUACCCUGGUAGUCCACACAGUAAACUAUGAAUACUCGCUGUUUGCGAUAUACAGUAAGCGGCCAAGCGAAAGCAUUAAGUAUUCCACCUGGGGAGUACGCCGGCAACGGUGAAACUCAAAUGAAUUGACGGGG
Molecule: ribosomal RNA, 393 nt
Filed under: uncultured bacterium
Lineage: Bacteria
Description: partial 16S ribosomal RNA
Rfam family: Bacterial small subunit ribosomal RNA
Source: RNAcentral